GACGAACGCUGGCGGCGUGCUUAACACAUGCAAGUCGAACGAUGAAGCCCAGCUUGCUGGGUGGAAGAGUGGCGAACGGGUGAGUAACACGUGAGUAACCUGCCCUGAACUCUGGGAUAAGCACUGGAAACGGUGUCUAAUACUGGAUACGACCUAUCACCGCAUGGUGUGUGGGUGGAAAGAUUUAUCGGUUCUGGAUGGACUCGCGGCCUAUCAGCUAGAUGGUGAGGUAAUGGCUCACCAUGGCGACGACGGGUAGCCGGCCUGAGAGGGUGACCGGCCACACUGGGACUGAGACACGGCCCAGAGUCCUACGGGAGGCAGCAGUGGGGAAUAUUGCACAAUGGGCGCAAGCCUGAUGCAGCAACGCCGCGUGAGGGAUGACGGCCUUCGGGUUGUAAACCUCUUUUAGUAGGGAAGAAGCGAAAGUGACGGUACCUGCAGAAAAAGCACCGGCUAACUACGUG
Molecule: ribosomal RNA, 467 nt
Filed under: uncultured bacterium
Lineage: Bacteria
Description: partial 16S ribosomal RNA
Rfam family: Bacterial small subunit ribosomal RNA
Source: RNAcentral